CCUACGGGUGGCAGCAGUGAGGAAUAUUGGUCAAUGGACGAGAGUCUGAACCAGCCAAGUAGCGUGAAGGAUGACUGCCCUAUGGGUUGUAAACUUCUUUUAUAUGGGAGUAAAAUGUUCCACGUGUGGGAUUUUGUAUGUACCAUAUGAAUAAGGAUCGGCUAACUCCGUGCCAGCAGCCGCGGUAAUACGGAGGAUCCGAGCGUUAUCCGGAUUUAUUGGGUUUAAAGGGAGCGUAGGUGGAUUGUUAAGUCAGUUGUGAAAGUUUGCGGCUCAACCGUAAAAUUGCAGUUGAAACUGGCAGUCUUGAGUACAGUAGAGGUGAGCGGAAUUCGAGGUGUAGCGGUGAAAUGCUUAGAUAUCACGAAGAACUCCGAUUGCGAAGGCAGUUCACUGGACUGCAACUGACACUGAGGCUCGAAAGUGUGGGUAUCAAACAGGAUUAGAUACCCUAGUAGUC
RNAcentral lists this ribosomal RNA (460 nucleotides) under uncultured bacterium. Its description in RNAcentral is "partial 16S ribosomal RNA". It matches the Rfam family "Bacterial small subunit ribosomal RNA", at positions 338 to 795 of the family's 1533-position model. The record is from RNAcentral.